UUGUGGAAAUGGAUAGCUGCUGUUAUUUUAUAUAAUAGAGGAAAGUCCGGACUCCGUGGAGGGAAAGUGCCAGAUAACGUCUGGCGGUGUGUAAUUACACCAGGGAAAGUGCAACAGAAAGUAUACAGCCCUAGGGCAAUGGUGAAAUGGUGAGGUAAAAGCUCACCGCGUAGCUGGUAACAGCUAUGGCAUGGCAAACCCCACUUGGAGCAAGAUCAAGAAGGAUAACGCGCAUCCUCCAGGCUAUGUUAUUCGGGUAGAUCGCUUGACGUUUGCGGUGACGCAAGCGCUAGAUGAAUGGCUAUCGGGACAAUAUGUCCUACAGAAUCCGGCUUAUAGUUUUCACAAAAAC
This 352-nucleotide RNase P RNA is filed under the name Holosporaceae bacterium. RNAcentral describes it as "RNase P RNA component class A". It matches the Rfam family "Bacterial RNase P class A". From Rfam's summary of the family: Ribonuclease P (RNase P) is a ubiquitous endoribonuclease, found in archaea, bacteria and eukarya as well as chloroplasts and mitochondria. Its best characterised activity is the generation of mature 5'-ends of tRNAs by cleaving the 5'-leader elements of precursor-tRNAs. Lineage: Bacteria; Pseudomonadati; Pseudomonadota; Alphaproteobacteria; Holosporales; Holosporaceae. The record is from RNAcentral.